Molecule: small RNA, 27 nt
Filed under: Bombyx mori (domestic silkworm)
Lineage: Eukaryota; Metazoa; Arthropoda; Insecta; Lepidoptera; Bombycidae
Description: ovarian small RNA-5395
Source: RNAcentral
GCUACUCAGAAAGUCUAGAGAGAUAGA